AGCUGGUGUGAGGGGGGUUACUGCAUCAACUACUCCCAAGGUUACAGGGUCAACUUUGCUCUCUUACUCCUUCCUCGCCAUUGCACUUGACUAGUCUAGA
This 100-nucleotide small RNA is filed under the name Mus pahari (shrew mouse). RNAcentral's name for it is "sRNA (MGP_PahariEiJ_G0008032.1)". Lineage: Eukaryota; Metazoa; Chordata; Mammalia; Rodentia; Muridae. The record is from RNAcentral.